This 497-nucleotide ribosomal RNA is filed under the name uncultured bacterium. RNAcentral describes it as "partial 16S ribosomal RNA". It matches the Rfam family "Bacterial small subunit ribosomal RNA", at positions 28 to 507 of the family's 1533-position model. The record is from RNAcentral.
GAUGAACGCUGGCGGCGUGCCUAAUACAUGCCAGUCGAGCGAACAGACGAGGAGCUUACUCCUCUGACGUUAGCGGCGGACGGGUGAGUAACACGUGGAUAACCUACCUAUAAGACUGGGAUAACUUCGGGAAACCGGAGCUAAUACCGGAUAACAUGUUGAACCGCAUGGUUCAACAGUGAAAGACGGUCUUGCUGUCACUUAUAGAUGGAUCCGCGUCGCAUUAGCUAGUUGGUAAGGUAACGGCUUACCAAGGCAACGAUGCGUAGCCGACCUGAGAGGGUGAUCGGCCACACUGGAACUGAGACACGGUUCAGACUCCUACGGGAGGCAGCAGUAGGGAAUCUUCCGCAAUGGGCGAAAGCCUGACGGAGCAACGCCGCGUGAGUGAAGAAGGUCUUCGGAUCGUAAAACUCUGUUAUUAGGGAAGAACAAAUGUGUAAGUAACUAUGCACGUCUUGACGGUACCUAAUCAGAAAGCCACGGCUAACUACGUG